This is a non-coding RNA of Cinara cedri, 503 nucleotides long. The record is from the annotation of a GenBank genome assembly. NCBI's taxonomy places the organism in Eukaryota, Metazoa, Arthropoda, Insecta, Hemiptera, Aphididae.
AGUCAAAUUUCUGAAGAAAAAUUGUUCUCUGAUAAAUAUCAAAAAAAAAAAAAAAAAAAACACCAUUGCAAUACCAAUAAAUUUCUCGCUUCGAAUCUAAAACGAUACACAUAGUGAAACCGUUGAAAAACUAUUGUACUAUUAAUUUCGCAACGAGUAUCAAAUAAUUCGUACGACGUCAAGACAUAUAUAUUAUUUUUAAAACAUACAAUAAUAUUACAAAAGCCCCAAUAUCGUUUUCAUCGUUUUGUGCCUAAUAACAAUAACAACGGUUGUUGUGUUCUCGCAUUCCCGUCAUAAUAACGUUUUACUUUUCCAGUGGAUUAAAUCAUCGGCUGCUAUACGGUUGUACAUAAUACAAUAAUAUUAUUAUUUCUGACGUACCGUUCAGUCAACACUCACGAUGACGGAUUAGCGAUGAGCGCACCAUUUCGGUUUCAUUAUCGUUUGUAUUAUUCAUAAUACCAUCACGAGUGAAAAAUAUCAUUUUCGUCGUAUUAUUU